This is a long non-coding RNA of Oncorhynchus keta (chum salmon), 4876 nucleotides long. RefSeq lists it as uncharacterized. The record is from RefSeq and is a predicted model, not a curated record. The transcript is spliced from 3 exons. NCBI's taxonomy places the organism in Eukaryota, Metazoa, Chordata, Actinopteri, Salmoniformes, Salmonidae.
CCGGUAGUUUUUUAUAUUUUCUGGGUCAAGGUUGGACUUUUUCAAGAGAGGCUUUAUUACUGCCACUUUUAGUGAGUUUGGUACACAUCCGGUGGAUAGAGAGCCGUUUAUUAUGUUCAACAUAGGAGGGCCAAGCACAGGAAGCAGCUCUUUCAGUAGUUUAGUUGGAAUCGGGUCCAGUAUGCAGCUUGAAGGUUUAGAGGCCAUGAUUAUUUUCAUCAUUGUGUCGAGAUAUAGUACUAAAACACUUGAGUGUCUCUCUUGAUCCUAGGUCCUGGCAGAGUUGUGCAGACUCAGGACAACUGAGCAGCAACAAGUGUUCAGCAUAUGUGGGAACUGUUGGAAAAGCAUUCCAGAGGAUCUCUUUCAGCUGCUGCUGACAACACAACUGCAUUCAAGCAGGUAGCCCAGCGGCUAAGGAGUUGGACCUGUGGCCAAAAGAUGGCCGGUUCGAAUCUUGAGCUGGGCGCUGGAUAAAAAGCAAGGCCCUUAACCCCACAACAUGCUCUCCAUCCAGGUGUACUGCAUUCAGCUUGAACCGGUGCCUGCUGUUAUGGGGGGUUUGAGAACAAAGUAGAAGACAUAUUUUUAUUGUUCACUGUAACUAAUGGUCAAAGUAUAUUGUAUUUUAUUGUAAAGAAGUCAGAGUUGAAGUGGGCCAUCAUUCAAACAAAGAGAUGCCUCCCUGGCCACCAGUGCAUCUUUCCAAACUAUGUUUGCAUAUGAUGACAAUCUAUUUAACUUCUUUAGCAUACUGGUUAUUGUUCGGAAUUUCGGAUGACUGACGUGCCCAAAGUAAACUGCCUGUUACUCAGGCCCAGAAGCUAGGAUAUGCAUAUAUGCAUUGGUAGCAUUGGUUAGAAAACACUCUGAAGUUUCUAAAACUGUUAAAUCAGUGUCUGUGAGUAUAACAGAACUGAUAUGGCAGGCGAAAACCAGAGGAAAAUCCAUCUGGAUAUUUUCUUUUUUUAGGUCACAGGCCAUUUCAAUGCUAGCCUAUGGGAUAUACAAAUACAGUAGUGCAAAAAAGUAUUUAGUCAGCCACCAAUUGUGCAAGUUCUCCCACUUAAAAAGAUGAGAGAGGCCUGUAAUUUUCAUCAUAGGUACACUUCAGCUAUGACAGACAAAAUGAGAAAAAAAAUCCAGAAAAUCACAUUGUAGGAUUUUUUAUGAAUUUAUUUGCAAAUUAUGGUGGAAAAUAAGUAUUUGGUCAAUAACAAACGUUUAUCUCAAUACUUUGUUAUAUACCCUUUGUUGGCAAUGACAGAGGUCAAACAUUUUCUGUAAGUCUUCACAAGGUUUUCACACACUGUUGCUGGUAUUUUGGCCCAUUCCUCCAUGCAGAUCUUCUCUAGAGCAGUGAUGUUUUGGGGCUGUUGCUGGGCAACACGGACUUUCAACUCCCUCCAAAGAUUUUCUAUGGGGUUGAGAUCUGGAGACUGGCUAGGCCACUCGAGGACCUUGAAAUGCUUCUUACGAAGCCACUCCUUUAUUGCCCGGGCGGUGUGUUUGGGAUCAUUGUCAUGCUGAAAGACCCAGCCACGUUUCAUCUUCAAUGCCCUUGCUGAUGGUAGGCUUUGUUACUUUGGUCCCAGCUCUCUGCAGGUCAUUCAUUAGGUGUGGUUCUGGGAUUUUUGCUCACCAUUCUUGUGAUCAUUUUGACCCCAUGGGGUGAGAUCUUGCGUGGAGCCCCAGAUCGAGGGAGAUUAUCAGUGGUCUUGUAUGUCUUCCAUUUCCUAAUAAUUGCUCCCACAGUUGAUUUCUUCAAACCAAGCUGCUUACCUAUUGCAGAUUCAGUCUUCCCAGCCUGAUGCAGGUCUACAAUUUUGUUUCUGGUGUCCUUUGACAGCUCUUUGGUCUUGGCCAUAGUGGAGUUUGGAGUGUGCCUGUUUGAGGUUGUGGACAGGUGUCUUUUAUACUUUUAUACUGAUAACAAGUUCAAACAGGUGACAUUAAUACAGUAACGAGUGGAGGACAGAGUUACAGGUCUGUGAGAGCCAGAAAUCUUGCUUGUUUGUAGGUGACCAAAUACUUAUUUUCCGCCAUAUUUUGCAAAUAAAUUCAUUAAAAAUCCUACAAAUUGAUUUUCUGGAUUUUUUUCUUCUCAUUUUGUCUGUCAUAUUUGAAGUGUACCUAUGAUGAAAAUUACAGGCCUCUCAUCUUUUUAAGUGGGAGAACUUGCACAAUUGGUGGCUGACUAAAUACUUUUUUGCCCUACUGUAGAUAGGACCCAGAUUGCAGUUCUUAUGGCUUCCACUAGAUGUCAACAGUCUUUAGAAAGGUUUUCAGGCUUGUUUUUUGAAAAAUAAGCAAGUAGUUGUAUUUUCUCCAAGGUGUCUUUCAUUAGAAAAGUAGUCUUGUUGGCGCGUGAAUGAGGUGCGCGCUCUUCGUUAUUUAUCUUCCCUAUUGAACAUACCAUCUUAAAUAUGAUCAUUUAUUUGGAUAUUAGCGUGCCUGAGGAUUAAUUAGAAACAUCGUUUGACUUGUUUGGAUGAACUUUACCCGCAACAUUUUGCAUUUGUUUGUAUGCAUGUUGAACGAGUGGAUUACUGAGAUCAUUGGCGCCAACUAAACAAACUUUUUGGGAUAUAAAGAAGGACUUUAUCGAACAAAACGACCAUUCAAUGUGUAGCUGGGACCCUUGUGAUUGCAAACAGAGGAAGAUCUUCAAAGGUAAGUGAUUUAUUUAAUCGCUAUUUGUGAUUUUAUGAUGCCUGUGCUGGUUGAAAAAGUAUUUUGAUGUGGGGUGCUGUCCUCAGAUAAUUGCAUGGUAUGCUUUCGCCGGAAAGCCUUUUUGAAAUCUGACAACGCGGUUGGAUUAACAAGAAGUUAAGCUUUUAAAUAAUGUACGACACUUGUAUUUUUUUCAUUAAUGUUUAACAUUACGAUUUUUGUAUUUUGAAUUUCGCGCUCUGCAAUUUCACCGGAUGUUGUCGUAGGUGUCCCGCGAGUAGUUCAUGCGCCCAAACAGGUCUAUUUAAAAAAGUAUGCUGAUAUUCUUUUGUCCAUUAUUUAAUUGUUUAAAAAAAUUAUAUUCUUACCUCAAAGUAUUACUAUUUAAUAGUAGUAGCCAUAAUUCAUGAAUGGCACCAUGCAGGGUUCCAUAUUGAACCAUUUUGGUUCAGUGAAGAACCUCUGGGAUUCUGAUCAAUGAGCCCUACAAUUCUAUAUAUAAAGAAAGUGAUAGAACCCUUUUUGGUUCUAUAAAGUACCUUUUUUUCUAACACGGAACCCAAACUGGAUGUGCGCGUGCGUCAUUGUGCAUUAGCUUGCACUUGCUAGCUAAUUUGUCCUAUUUAGCUAGCUUGCUGUUGCUAGCUAAUUUUGUCCUGGGAUAUAAACAUUGAGUUGUUAUUUUACCUGAAAUGCACAAGGUCCUCUACUCAGCCAAUUAAUCCACACAUAAAACGGUCAACCGAAUCGUUUCUAGUCAUCUCUCUUCCUUCCAGGCUUUUUCUUCACUUGACUUUAUAUUGCGAUAGGCAACUUUCAUAAAUUAGGUGUAUUACCGCACUGACUUCAUUCGUCUUUCCCACCCACGUGGGUAUAAACAAUGAGGAGAUGGCACGUGUGUACAUGCUUGUAUAAACCAAUGAGGAGAUGAGAGGCAGGACUUGCAGGACUUAAUUGAAUAACAUAGGUUUCUAAAUGUAUUUUGCAACACUCGCACACGCAAGCAGUGUAGUCAGCCUGUAAGAGUGAAUGGCCUAUGGUUUAUUAUGUGUGGGUCUAUUUGAGUCGCAUGUUAAAUGCAAGAGUCAUGGAUUUAUGUACUGUAGGCCUGAAAGAUGAUUUGGUCUGUAAUGCGAAAUCACAUGUUAGAUGGGUUGUUGUGUGUGAUCGAUUACAGUAGGGUAUAGGGUAGGCUAUGGUUUUAUGAUAAUUUAAUGAUGAUUUGAGUGCCCAAAUUUUGGCCCAACUGGCCCUGCCAUCCACUUAUUUCUGCCUAUGCCACUGCUCAGAGCCUGGCCAGGGUGCUGCUCUCUGGGCAACCCAACCUUCACAGGACAAAGACAAUACAGGGGGAGAGAGAUGAGACAGCACAGGGGCAGGAGGAGCCCAUAGCACCGUUAAUGAUGAAAAGAGCACAGGGCAUGUACUGGGACUAGGCUACUACUCCUCAUCAGACGAUGAAGCCGACACAUGACAUGGCUUUGUUAUUAACACUGGAUCCCUGAUCACUACUCAGAACUCAAUCUGCCAUUCAUGGACAUCCCGUGCUCCAGUACUUGUCCAGUUUGCCCUGAACUCCAAUCAGCUGUUGUGAACCACAGGUUCUUUCUUUUCUUAUUGUACAUUAUGUAAAUACACAAUAAAAAGGGCAAUGAUACAAUGUACUUCAAGGGCUUUUCUUUUUCUAGAGAAAACAAAUGUGACCUGACAGACCCUUCUGAGAUUAUGGUGCUGAAUUCUACUUUGGAAAUAAUAUAAGAACCACUAAUAAUUGGUAGGACAGACUUUCACUCCAUUCUGAUUGUUUGAUUAGAACAUGAAACAAUAAGUGCAACAGAUGACCUGCUAAGGCGAUGAUGAGAAUAGAAUGUCUAUAUUUCAGGGUGACAUAUUAGCUGUCACUCUCAGGUUGCAGCUUCUGUCUCUGUUGUUGUAUAAUCAGGCUCCACCACUUCCAGCAGCUUUAUGCAACAGACACCUCGCUGUGAUGACAUGCUGACUCAAUGUUAGCCAGACUGCUUAUUCAUAUAAAAACUCACAGCCCUGACGAUGCACAGCCCACGGCCGACCCUAACCCCCCGUUUAUGUGGGGACCUCUAUCAGCAUGGCACUUCUGGGAAACAGGCUUGUUAUAUACCCAGAGAGAGUAGGAACUAGGAAACCAGAACAGUGUCUCUGGUUGGGCUGACGUGGUGGUGGUGAG